This 83-nucleotide small nucleolar RNA is filed under the name Neurospora crassa. Its description in RNAcentral is "U3A-3 snoRNA". Lineage: Eukaryota; Fungi; Ascomycota; Sordariomycetes; Sordariales; Sordariaceae. The record is from RNAcentral.
GUGGCGAUGAUCUGUACCCCGAUUUCCAGAGGUCUGCCUUCGGGCGCUUUGGCGGGGUGGGUGUCGAUGGAAGUCUGACGCGC